Molecule: long non-coding RNA, 8470 nt
Filed under: Cucumis sativus (cucumber)
Lineage: Eukaryota; Viridiplantae; Streptophyta; Magnoliopsida; Cucurbitales; Cucurbitaceae
Description: long non-coding RNA (CSAT_LNC001124)
Source: RNAcentral
GACGAACUGCUGAACGCAAGAUUUAUGAGACCUGCAAAAGCUCCAUAUGGAGCUCCAGUCCUUUUCCAGAAGAAGAAGGAUGGAAGUAUGCGGUUGUGCAUCGACUACCGCGCCCUAAACAAGAUCACGGUCCGCAACAGAUAUCUGCGUGAUAGAACUAAGUCAUGCACAGCGGAAAAAGAAUCGAAUUUCUACCCUAAUUGCCACAAUUAACAUCUAACCAUAAACUAAUCAAAUUAGGGUUUUAAGAAGUAUUACCUUUGAAGCUUUCAAAAGGUUUGAUGUCUUCUUACCAAUUCUACCCGAGACCACCACUAGUACUCAACUGCUAUCCUCUAGACAAAGAACCGGGUUGUGGGACCCAAUUUUGGUGUAGAAAGUAAUGGAGAUAAAAUGAGAUUGGAAGCUUUCUUUUUUCUUUUGUUGAGAUUAUGAAAAUGAUAAAAGAGGCAAAAAGUCCUUCAACAUUUGAAAACAUCUCUAUUUAUAGCCUAAUUACAUGCAAAAAUGCAUGCAAUUCAAUUGCCAAAUCUCAACACCUAAUAUUCCACUAACAAUUAGUGGAACUUAGUGGGCUAGGUGUCUAUAUCUCAUAUAGCCACAUAUCCCACUAAGAGUUAGUGGGAUUAUCCAACAAAAUGUUGGAUUUUCCCACUAACUUAGUCCAAGGGUAAAAUGGUCAUUAGAUUUUUCUAGUCAAAAGUCAAACUUUGACUUUUCUAAGUCAAAAGUCAAUAUUUUGACUUUUUACCAUUUUGUCCGUCUUGACUAAUUCCAACCUCCCGAGCAUGAAUCCGCAUUCAUUUUUCCAAAAUUCAAAUCACAUUUGAAUAUAAGGCCGGUCAAAGUUUGACUUUUCAAAGUCAAAAGUCAACAUUUUGACUUUUUACUAUUUUUGACCAAUUCCGAGCUUCUUAGUAUGAAUCCGCAUUCAUACUUAUAGUAUGUAAAACAUAAAGCUCUAUUUCUAAUUAGAAGACCGACGAUUAUAUCACUGUAUAUGUCGGUUUUCCUUUCUUCUCCCUAUUCGAACAAUUCGACUUAUUUCAUCACACUGUUCUAAGUUUAAUCCAUAUGAGCUAGCAGAGGAACCUAAUGGACCUAUAGAUCAUGGGCUCCAACGAUUCAAGAUUAACUAGCUAAACUCUUUUAAACCGAGUUAAUCAACAUUCGUUAACUAACGGGUCAUUCCACUAAAGUCCCGUAGUUGCACUCCCCUCACUAUAGAUAUAUUUGUGUCCAUUUGAUAAAACCAUAAUCAGUAAGUUAAUCCUUCACAGGUUGCUCGUAACCUUGGCUGGGUCAAAAUACCGUUUUACCCCCAAGAUUACAUCUUGCUCCUUAAGUCCCACUAAUCCACUAUUGAACAAUUGGUUUAAGGUUCAACCUAUAAACUUAAUCCCUCUCGGGCCAAUGAGAGGGUGGGGCCCCUUGUUCAAGACUUGGAUUCAGUGCUUAAGAGAGCAACCUAUCUACUAACCCUAAAGCGGGUAGGAGUGAAUUCCAUCUUGUACCCUAUGUUCCCAGCUAUCCACCCGAUCUUACCCCUGAAAUGGGAGGCUUAUUGGGCCAACGCUGAUGAGCUGCCCUCACCUAUGCAGAUCUAAGGAUAAUCUCGUAUGAACAGGAGUUCAUAGUUAACUCAGGAUUAAGACUAAGUUACCUAGGUCAUCAAUAAUUGAGAUAGUCAGUUUUAAACAGUAAACGGUGUUAUAACGUAAAAAUGACUAAUUCAUGGUUCAGUCUUAUGUAAACAUUUUACAUAGGAUGCCCCCACUUUCAUGUCUCUACAUGAACGAUUAGGAUCACAUCGUUUGUACUACAAAGUGGGCCGCAUCCAUAGUCUCUCAAAAUAAGGCGCCCAACCUUUAUUUCAUAUACUAUAGACUAUUUAGGCUAUAUACUCGAACUUGAUCCACGUUUAUGUUUACACAUAAAGUUCAAGUUUAUUCAAAAAAUAGCCUUGGAACUUUGAUUUAUUGGAUUUAAGAUUAUAAUAUUUAAUUUCUCAAUAACAACUUUAUUGAAUAGAAUAUGAUUUACAAACUACGAGUUUUAGGACAAAAAAUUCCAACAAACUCCCACUUGGACUAAAAUUCCUAGUGGUAUGAGAGAUGUGGUGUGAGAGAAUAUAUAUGAAACUAGGGCACAUGGCCAAUAAGUCUCCCACUUGUCCUAGUUUACAAACAUCGUACACCUAAACUGUGUAGGUGACCCUCAAACACUUUAGCCAUGAGGGCUUUUGUAAAAUGAUCAGCUUCCAUUGUGGAAUCAGCUAUACAAGUUUGCUUUAUGCUUCUCCAAACUACUGCUCCUCCAUUUAGAGUAAAUACUGAUUCUGAUGUAGACUUUCUAACAUCUUUAUCAGUUUGGAAAUCUGAAUCAGUGUAUCCAGUAAGGAUCAGAUCCUUUGUACGAUACAUGAGCAUGUAGAAUGUUUUUAACGGCUGUCCAGUGAUCACGUCCAUGAUUGGAUUGAUACCUACUGACCAUCCCUACUGAGUAGCAAAUGUCAGGUCUAGUACAUAACAUUGCAUACAUUAAACUUCCAACAGCGGAAGCAUAGGGAAUAUUUCUCAUAUCCUCAACUUCUUGAGGUGUCUUAGGACAUUGUUCCUUUGACAAAUGAAUUCCAUAUCUGUACGGCAGCAGACCCUUUUUGGAAUUCUGCAUUUUAUAUCUAGACAACAUUUUGUCUAUGUAAGAUGCUUGAGACAUGGCUAGUGUUUUGUUCUUACGGUUUCGAACAAUUUGGAUUCCGAGAACGUAUUGUGCAUCUCCCAGAUCUUUCAUUUGAAAUUGCAUAGCUAGCCAUUUCUUGAUAUCAGGAAGAUAUCCUAGUCAUUUCCAAUAAGUAGAAUAUCAUCUACAUAUAAGACUAAAAAAUGCUAUAAUGGAAUUGACGACCUUUUGUAAACACAAGGCUCGUCAACAUUUUGUUCAAAGCCAUAAGAUUUUGAUCGCAAUAUCAAAUCUUAUAUUCCAGGAUCUAGAAGCUUGUUUUAAUCCAUAAAUGGAUUUUUUAAGCUUACAAACCUUUUGUUCUUGAUCUUGUUUUAUAAACCCCUCUGGUUGAGACAUAUAGAUGCUCUCUUCAAGAUUACCGUUCAAAAAAGCUGUCUUGACAUCCAUCUGCCAAAUUUCAUAAUCAUAAAAAGUGGCGAUGGAUAAGAGUAUUCUAAUUGACUUUAACAUGGCAACGGGAGAGAAAGUUUCCUCUAGUCUACUCCCUCUCUCUAGGUAUAACCCUUUGCCACAAGUCGAGCCUUAAAAGUCUGUACUUUACCGGCAUGGUCUCGUUUUCUCUUGUAGAUCCAUUUACAACCAAUAGGUUUUACGUCAUUUGGUUGAUCUACUAGAGUCUAGAAAGAAUUAAAGUACAUAGACUCCAUUUCGAGGUCCAUGGCUUUGAUCCAUUGGUCACGAUCUACAUCUUUCAUUGCCUGUUUAUAGGUUAAUGGAUCCUCUAUGCCAUCGUCAGGUAUGACGACUUGAGUUUCAAUUAAACCCAAAUAGCGAUCAGGCUGAUGAACAACCCUCCCACUACGUCGAGGCUCUCUCAACUGUUGAGAAGGAUGUGAUUGACCAGAUUUCCUAGUCUUAUCAACUACUUUAGUGGAUGAACUAGGUUUUAUCUAUAGCACUUUUGGAAAUUUCUUUAAAUACUAGUUUACUACGAGGUUGAUGAUCCCUGAUGUGGUAUUUUAUUUUCUUGAGGAUCAUAAAACAAACCACCUCUUGAUUCUUUUGGAUAACCUAUAAAAAAGCAUAAUUUUGAACGAUGUUCCAAUUUCUUUGGAUUUUGUACCAACACAUGUGCUGGACAACCCCAAAUUUUAAAAUGACGUAAACUGCCUUUACGCCCUUUCCAUAGCUCAUAAGGUGUUUCUGAAACACUUUUAGAGGGAACAUUAUUCAAAAUAUAAGCAGCUGUUUCUAAAGCAUAUCCCCAAAAAGAAUCUGACAUCUGAGAAAAACUCAUCAUAGAGCGAACCAUGUCUAACAAGGUCCAGUUUCUUCUUUCUGAUACACCGUUCUGUUGAGGUGUACUAGGUGCAGAGAGUUGUGACUGGAUUCCAUUUUCUAUUAAAUAGUCUCGGAAUCGUAAGUCCAUAUACUCUCCACCUCGAUCUGAUCGAAGUAUUUUUAUUGUUUUACCUAAUUCGUUUUCUACUUCAGCCUUAUAUUCUUUGAACUUUUCAAGACUAUUAGACUUAUGAUGUAUUAGGUAAAUAUGACCAUACCUUGAAUAAUCAUCAAUGAAGCUAAUGAAAUAUUCAUAUCCACCUCGAGUUUUGACAUUCAUUGGUCCACAAAGGUCCGAAUGUACGAGCUCUAAGGGUCCUUUGGCUCUUAGACCUUUUCCAGUAAAAGAUCUCUUGGUCAUUUUUCCUUCAAGACAAGAUUCACAAGGAGGUAAAGAGUUAUCUUCUAACGGACUUAGAAGCCCACUUUUAACCAAUCUCCCAAUCCUAUUGAGAUUUAUGUGACCAAGUCUUAAGUGCCAUAAAUAGGCAUUAGAAGAAACUUUUUGUCUUUUAUUCUGAGUUUCAGCUGUUCUGAAUAUUUCAGUAUUUAAGACAAAAUUUGCUCUAGUUGGUCUUAACUUAUAUAAGUUGUCUUCAAGUAUAGCAGAACAAACUAGAAUACCUUUAUAGAAAACGAACGCUUCAUUAAUUUCAAAAGAUAUUCUAUACAUUUGUUCCAAAAUACAAGAGAUAGAUAUUAAAUUUCUUUUCAUUUGAGGUACAUAUAAGACAUUCUUAAGUAUGACAUAUCUAUCUCUAAAAAACAACUUUAAAUCUCCCACUGCUGAAGCUGAGACCAUCUCUCCUGUUCCAACCUUGAGAGUGAUCUCGCCUUCUGAAAGCUUUUUCCAAGAACUAUUUUCCUGAAAUGAGAAGCAAAUAUGGUUAGUGGCUCCUGAAUCUAGUAUCCAGGUAGAAUUUUCAUAUUCCACUAAACAUGUUUCUACAACUAGUAAAUCAUAUUUACCUUGUGUUUCCUUCUCUGCCUUUUUUUCUGCAAGGUAUUUUGGGCAGUUUCUUAACCAGUGCCCGUUUUGGCCACAAUGGUAACACUUACCUUUUUCUGCAGCUUUCUUACCCUUGUUCUGUUUGGGAGUCUUUCCCUUUCCCUUCUUUUUUAUUUGAGCAUUAGGUUUUGAGGGUCCAGCUUUGGUUUUAGAGGACGAUCCUCUUAUAAAUUUUCUUUUUGUGGUAGCAACAUUUGCUUCCACUUGUUUUCCUUUACCCAUAGUUAGGUUUUGGAAUCGCUGGAGUUCAUUCAGAAGGGUUGUCAAGUUAAAUUCUAUCUUGUUCAAAGACGCAUUCGUUUGGAAUGGAAUGAAGCUCUUCGGAAGAGACUCUAAGAUAAAACUAACUUGAUUAACCUCUUCGAUGGGACCACCAUUCACUUCAGCGAUGUUGAAGUGCAUCAUCAUGUCCAGAACAUGUUCUCUAACAGAGGUCCCUUCCUUCAUACGCUUAGUGUAAAUGUAUUUGACUGCCUCGUGUCUUAAGGACCAUUCUGGUUGCCCAAACAUUCCCCUUAAUGAAUCCAUAAUCUCUUUAGCCGUGGCUAAGGAUUCAUGUUUCUUUGCCAAUACAUCAGACAUGCUGGCAAGAAUGUAAACACGGGCUUUUUCAUUAGCUUUUAUCCAUCGAUCAUAUGCAUCCCGACUAGUUCGGUUAGCAUUAGAGGCAGGGUUUUGAGGACAUUCCUCAGUUAAGACAAAUCUUAAAUCGUCAACCACUAGUAUUGUGUUAAGAUUUGAUUUCCAAGCCGCAUAAUUAUCGCCAUUAAGUUUUUCGGAAGCUAAAAGUUGAACUAUUGAGCUAUUCAUGCUGAAAAACAAACAUAUUCUUUUUAGGAAAAAACUAUAAUCAUAAAAAAUAUCCAAUCUAAUUUAGCAAUUACUAAUAAUGUACCCUUUCAUUAUUUGUAUUUUGCAACAAUAUUUCAAAGGUUUAGAACAACCUUCUCCGAAGGGUAGUUGAUUAUUCCUCCUUUGAACCAAGACAAUCUUGACUAGAUGCUAUCUCAAGAAUAACUCUUUAUUCUUUAUAGCACUUAGUUAUCGCUACUUUAGUCAAGAAUAUACUAACAACUUAGUAAUUCUUGUAAGUGUUACCCACCAUUUUCAGAUUUUAUAGAUUAGAAUCAUUUAUGAAAACUAAUCUAAGAAAUCCUAUCCAGUUUUGGAGUUCGCGGUGUUCCGAAUCCUAUAAUACAACCCUCCGAAGGGAACGUCGCUCCAGGGCAGACAAGCAGGCAUAUUAUAGAAAUCUCACGGUGCGGCCUAAUGGAAGAGACCGUGGGAUGUGCUGUCACAAAUCCCUCACCCACUUACUAUGAACUACUUCCCCUAUUCACCUUGAUUUUGAUCCAUGCAAACACUCUCCGAAGGGAGGCCGCUCCUAUGCACGGCACAAAGCCCUGCAUGGACCUCACGGUGUGAACUCUUAGGGACACUAGAGCUAAAAUACAUUAUUUUUCUCUAGUUGAAGUGUUCUAAAAGGAAAAAAAUAGGGUAAUCCAAACUUCAAGAUUUAUAUUUAGGCUAACUUAAACAAAUCUUAAGUCUAGAUAAAACAUCCAAGUAUAACCAUUAUACAGGAUUUUAACCUAUGAUGUCUAGGUGAAAAACCAUUUUUAUUACCUCACACCUCUCACGAAUGCUCAUAAAACUAGGUUAACUAGGCUCAAGAACUGAUUACGAUCUCCAGGUAGGAGGUGUUCCGUAAACCGUCAACUUAAGAACCUCCAACCUUAGUCAUCUUAUCUGACUUGUUGACAAGAUUGAACCAGGUGAGCCUUUUGUAACCAGUUUUACAAGAUAUCGACCUAUUUCUAUGAAAAAUGGAAGAUAUGUUUAACCUAAGUGAGCAUGCAUUUAAUCUUUGUUAUUGAUUUUAAAAGUCUAAUUUAUUUUAUAACACUUAUAAAAAAAACUUCUAGACUUAAUCAAUCAUUUUAUCAAUAUAUAAUCUUAUAAAAACAAUCAAUUAAUAUGGAUUUUAAUUUAUUUAACUUUAAUUAAAUCAUAUUUAAUUAAAUUAAAUCAAACAAUAAUUAAUUAAUUUGAUUAAAUCAUAUUUAAUCAAGAAUAACUUAAUUAAUUAAAUAAUUAAUUAAUCAUAUUAAUUAAUUUCCAUAUUAAUCAAUUAACAUGCAUACAAUACAAUAUAACCUUUAUAUCAUACAUUUUAAUGCAUGAACAUGUUAACCUAUGGUGGGAUUUUAAAUCUAUAUGACAUUCAAAAUGCACAUACAAAUUUAAAGUAAUUUAAUCAUACAUCACAUGCAUAAAUAAAAAAAAACACCCUAAAAUGGACUGAUUUUUGGCUCCUAAAUUAAGCUAAGUGCUAAAUUAUUACAUAAUUAAUUUGGUGUAGUACAGAACCACUCCCAAAAAUUUCGAACCGGCUAAAAAACCAACCGAAACCGCUUGAACCGGCCCAAAAACCAAAUUUAUUGGCUUGAACCGGCCCAGGCGCACACGGGUCGUGCGAAGGCAGGCGCGCGGGCGAAGGCGGGCGCGCGGGCGCAUGCGGGCGCGCGGGCGCAUGCGGGCGCGGCGCGCGCAGGCGGGCGCACGGGCGCAUGCAGGAGCGCGGCCGCAGGAAGGCGCGCGGGCGCAGGAGGGCGCGCGCGGGCGCAGGAGGGCGUGCGGCGCGCGCGGGCGCGUGCGGGCGCAGGAGGGCGCGCGGGCAUGCGGGCGCGUGCGGGUCGCGAAGCGGGUCAAAACCGGGUUUUCGGGUCUGUGACCUUCUUUUCUUCAUUUUUUUUCAAUUCUCUCACCCGGUUGAACCAAUUACAGCCUAGCUUCAACUCUAAUGACUUUUUUUAUUUUUUUAAAAAAUUACAAACACUUUGCAACAAUAAAAAUAAGCCAUUAACAAGGCUAAUUACAAUAAUUAGAACAAAAACACUUAAUCUAGAGCCAAAAUCAUAAUAUAUCCAUUUUAGUUCAAACCAAAAUUUAUCUAAUAAAUAUGAACCCACCACAUGCAAUUGGGUAAAAAUGAAGCAUGCUCUGAUACCACAUGAUAGAACUAAGUCAUGCACAGCGGAAAAAGAAUCGAAUUUCUACCCUAAUUGCCACAAUUAACAUGUAACCAUAAACUAAUCAAAUUAGGGUUUUAAGAAGUAUUACCUUUGAAGCUUUCAAAAGGUUUGAUGUCUUCUUACCAAUUCUACCCGAGACCACCACUAGUACUCAACUGCUAUCCUCUAGACAAAGAACCGGGUUGUGGGACCCAAUUUUGGUGUAGAAAGUAAUGGAGAUAAAAUGAGAUUGGAAGCUUUCUUUUUUCUUUUGUUGAGAUUAUGAAAAUGAUAAAAGAGGCAAAAGUCCUUCAACAUUUGAAAACAUCUCUAUUUAUAGCCUAAUUACAUGCAAAAAUGCAUGCAAUUCAAUUGCCAAAUCUCAACACCUAAUAUUCCACUAACAAUUAGUGGAACUUAG